This 2360-nucleotide long non-coding RNA is filed under the name Homo sapiens (human). Its description in RNAcentral is "HSALNT0168180". The record is from RNAcentral. Lineage: Eukaryota; Metazoa; Chordata; Mammalia; Primates; Hominidae.
GCCUUACUUGAAAAUUACAUGAGGAAAUGAGAACCUUGGAAACUCAAGCCAAUGCACACCAAUCCCAUGUACGUGGUUUAUGCUCCAUGCAAAGCAUGGAAGAGCAGGAAGUGGUCUUUCUUCCCUGUAGGAGCCGACAUCCUUCUUCUCAAUGGCUCUCCAUAUCCUCACCUCGCCCCCACUGUCUGGGAAAUGCUGGAGAGAAAUAAAAGAAAAUGCCCCGUGAGCACUAGAAAGAGGUCGUAAUUCUGGCUAGUGAGAGCUGGGAAUACUUCAGGAGAAGGUGGCUGCAGCUGGACCCUAAAGGACAGGAAGGACAAAUGGAGAUGCCUGGGGACAGGAGACCUUUGGGGUGAGGGGUAAGGGCAGGGAAAGCAGCUGGGAGCACUUUGCUUCUUAGCUGAAGAUUGAGCUCCCAGGGAUGAGGGAGGCAAGCGGCCUGGAAGAGUUCUGGAAGGUAACGAAGAUAGAGGAAAGGGGCUGUGAAGAGGCGGCAUGGCAGCGAGUCAUGGGACUGGCUGUGGUUCUGGAGAUGAGCGACCAGGUCACCAGCGUGGAGCCGGCUCAGGGGUUUUCAGGAUAAGCGUACAGAGGUGCUUUGCUGAGGCCGACAGAACCUGCCCCUAAUGCAUCCAGGGGACACUAACCGCUUUAGUCUAUUCUCUGAUGAAUAAUUUCUCCAACUCUAACUACAUUAGGGACACACAGGGCCGGGGCUCGGUGCUCUGUCUGUCAGAUAUCGUUGCCACUUAAGUGAGUGAUGCAGUGUGGGCCGGCCACGGUGCCCGGGCCUGCGGACAAGGCAGGCAGCCAGGAGAGCUGGCCCCAGAGGUCUUAUUUCUUUGGUAGUGUAAUCAGAUUGGAGGCAGAAUGUUUUUCUGUCUCCUCCCUAUAAUCUCUGUUUUGGUACCGUUUCCUCUCCUCUACGAUUCUGAUCCCUGUUUUCCCUGCCUGUUGGUAUGGCACACUGUUCUGCCUCUUCUCCUUCCAGGCCCACUGCCCAUGCAGGACUGAGACAGAGGGAAGACGCCAGAGUGGCCCAUCCUCUAUUCUGUACUCCCAGUUGGUGGAAGAGGAAAGGGAAAUCGUGCUUAUUAAAAAUCUCAAAGGUGCAGCUCCAGGUUGUUCAGGCAUCUCAUGACAGCAACAGGAGUCAAAAGACCCCACCCUGCAGGCUGGAAUUCAGGGCAAAAAUGAUGGCAUUCUGCAGGGAUAAAUUAAAGGCUGGCACUUAGGUUCAAAAAGCCAACUAUACAAGGCCAAGAAAAAAAGCCUCUGAAUUGUAUUUUUUAUGAAAGACUUAACAUGGACUAAUUGUGUGGUAAAGCUACCCAAAACACUGAAGUUUACAAUACAAAAUGCUGUUGUUAGGAAAGAAACUCAUAUCCAUUGCAAAAUAACUUGAAAAUUUACAAAUAUGAGAGAGAGCAGUCGAGAGAGAGCUGCGUGUAUGGAGAUUACUUAAUCCCAUCUCUGACAAUUAUCUGUUAAUCCACUUGAUUAUAACCUUCUAUUUCUUUUCCCUAGGCAGGUAUUCAAGGUAUAUCUAUAACAUAAUUGUAUUUUUGAAAAGAUAUAUUUGCAACUUGGCUUUUUUUUUUUUUGAACAGUCUUGCUCUGUUGCCCAGGCUGGAGUGCAGUGGCGCGAUCACGGUUCACUGCAGCCUCGACCUCCUGGGCUCAAGUGAUCCUCCUACCUCAGCCUCCUGAAUAGCUAGGACUGCAGGUGUACACCACCAUGCCUGUCCAAGUUUUAAAUUUUUUGUAGAGUUGGGGGGGGUCUCUCUAUUUUGCCCAGGUUGGCCUCAAACUCCUGGACUCAAGGAAUCCCCUCAGCCUCCCAAAGUGCUGAGAUUAUAGGUAUGAGCCACCAUACCUGGCCACAACUUGACUUUUUUAUAUAACUAAAUAUUGUAAAUAACUUUCAAAGUCAUUACUUUUCCAUAAUGCCAUUUUUAUGUGUUGUAAAAUAUUCUAUUUUAUAAAUUUACCAUAAUUUAUUUAUAAAAUUGUAUUUUGUACAUUGAUUUUUCCUCGAUUUUUCUGUAAUAUAAUGAAUCCUGGGCUGAAUCACCUUGGAAAUAAAUGUUUGUGUACACCCUUGAGUAUUUCUGUAAUAUAAAGCCCUAGGAGUAAAAGGUAUAGAAUUUAAAGGGUUAUGAACAUUUUGAAGGUUUUGAUUUACUGGUUUGCUUAUUUGUUUUUGAUGUGUCUGGUCAAAUUGUUCCACACCACCAAGUGUGAGAGUAUCUCUGUCUCUCCAUAUUUUCCCCGGUAUUGGGCACUAUGAUGUUGAAAUAUCUUGCCAGAUUUAUAUGUGAAAUGUGGUAUCAUGCUUUAAUUUGUAUGUUUUGAAUUAU